UGCCUCAGCAUUUCCUGGCAGACUGAAGGCUUCCAUAUGGUGAUGAUCGUGAUGCUGUGGCAGCAUUUAGCCUCUGCCACCAGUGUCUCAAGGUGCAUUUGCUUGUGCUGAGAAAGUUCACCAGUGCAUGCAAUGGCAUAGCCUCUUUGCUGUCAAGUUCCCUGUAUAAAUUUCUCAUGCCCCAAUGACUGGCUGGGCUUGAAGGAGAGGAUUUAGCCCUGCCAUAAGGGCCUGAAGGAGAGCCUGCUCACACAUUUCUGGAGUGAAAACAGAAGCCUGGAGAAGGGCCCUCUGGGAGGAAGCUGCAGGCACCAAGGCACACUCCUGCUGUGCAGCCCAUGCUGCCCAAGCCCCUGGCUCCCAUCCAGUUCUCAAAUCAGUCUUCUUCUGAAGGUUAAACAUGGCACCUUCUGCUGAUCCAGAUCUGCAAGGUCAACAGACACCCCUCCAAUCCAACCAUUCUAAGAUUCUGUGGUUCUUCUGCAUGAUUCAUGUGCUAGUUCAGCAUCCUUAGAGCUGUGAUGAAGACCACACCUUUAUCUCUGGGUCUGUACUGCAGUAGUACAAUUAUCUGAAUUAGGUAUUGUGUUUGCUGGCUAGAGAGGAAGCCUUGAGAGGGAUAUUCCAGCAUGUUUGGGUUGGGCUCUGAGCAUCUAUAGCACCAUUAAGACACACGCGUUCAUUUCCUAUGAGCUGUGCUUUAGUCAGUCUUGAAUUCCGCAUGUAGCUGCGUGUAGCAGAAAUGCUGUCAUGGCUUGAAACUGAUUGAGCACCUGGUGGGAAGGCAGGGCCAACCCAGGGGA
Non-coding RNA from Coturnix japonica (Japanese quail), 803 nucleotides. NCBI's taxonomy places the organism in Eukaryota, Metazoa, Chordata, Aves, Galliformes, Phasianidae. The record is from RefSeq and is a predicted model, not a curated record.